Molecule: long non-coding RNA, 865 nt
Organism: Trachemys scripta elegans
Lineage: Eukaryota; Metazoa; Chordata; Testudines; Emydidae
Exons: 5
Source: RefSeq, a predicted model, not a curated record
AACAAAAUGCAGCAGUCACUCUCGAACCCCACCCUGCAACCUUCUGCUUUGGAGGAUCCACAUUUCCAAACUGUUAGCUCUUGGGAACAGAGCAGAUGGAUUCUGUACAGUUUCAAAGAGGUUUCUUAGCAGAAAAUCCUAGAGAGCAGUCCAAGUAAAUGCAGCGAAUGAAGAGAAAAAUAUGCUUUGCCACUUUAAAUCACUGAUUCUUUUUGGCCCAUCCUCCCCUAGAGGAAACUGGAAGGAUCUCCAACACGCAUUUUCAUACCAGGCUUUCAUGACUUCCUCUUAUUCAGAUUGUGAGGCCAAGUGAGCUGUGUGGAAAAGAAAUGAAGAAGAAAGAAAGAGGAGAGAGAGGAAGAAGGAAGGGAAAAUCUUCAGUUGUUACAAGGAAAGCAACAAAAAAUAUGAUUCCUUGAAGGACCCAUCUUUCUCUUGACUCUCCCCAUCCUGCUCCAGUAUCAGAGCGAUUGCCAGUAUUUAAUAACACUUUAUCCACAGCUAUGGGGUGCUGCUUCUGUUAUUCAACUCUUAUUUUUAAAAUUGCUAACGCUGUGAAGUUUGAAUUUUUUGGUUGUGCUUUUUUUUUAAUUAAAAAAGAGUUGAAAGAGGAUGCAGUUUUGUGUGAGGUGCUACUAAAAAUACUACACAACUACUAAGUAUACUUAAUAUACAAAAUUCUGGCUAAUGGAAUAACAUGCCAGCGUACAGGGACUGUUAUGUGAACAAACCAAUGGAAAGAAUCUAUUUCAUAUAUAAUAUGCAGACACACACAUAUAUACCCAGAGACUAUGAUGACAAUGGGAAUUUUCCUUUUUUUCUACUUUUAUUAUUAGUAAGGCUGCAAGUCUGUCAUGGAGGUCAC